GGAGGUCAUUAUCGUUUCCACGGAGGUGUUCGGGUUGUCGCUGGCCUUUUCACAGGUCGUGCACGCCUGAGCAUGCUCUUGUCCAUCCACCUCACCCCCUUUGUGCAUCACCGCGUGGGUCCUCUUUCUCGGAGGGGGCCCGCGUUUUUCACACAAACUUUGAAAUGGCUUAGAAUGUUCUUUGCGAUCACACGCAACAAAAAUACAACUUUCAACAAUGGAUCUCUUGGCUCUCGCAUCGAUGAAGAACGCAGCGAAAUGCGAUACGUAAUGUGAAUUGCAGAAUUCAGUGAAUCAUCGAAUCUUUGAACGCACCUUGCGCCCCUUGGCAUUCCGAGGGGCACGCCCGUUUGAGUGUCGUGAAAAUCCUCAAAGCCCUUUUCCUCGCUCGCUUUGAACGAGGGAGAAGGCUUUGGACUUGGAGGUUCAAUGCUUGCCCUUUGCCUUCNGAAGGCAAGCUCCUCUCAAAUACAUCAGUGGGGGUCCCGCAUUCGGCCCGGUCCAUGACGUGAUAAGACCCUUUUACGUUUUGGGCUUGACCGUGGCUCUUUGGACGCCUGCUUCUAACCGUCUCAUGGACAAUAUGAUGGUGCUCCGGUCACCUGCCAUUCGUUGGUUGGGGAGGCCGGACCCACGACACACACUCUUGACCUCAAAUCGGGCGAGACUACCCGCUGAACUUAAGCAUAUCAAUAAGCGGAGGAAAAGAAACUAACAAGGAUUCCCCUAGUAACUGCGAGUGAAGCGGGAAAAGCUCAAAUUUAAAAUCUGGUGGUCUUUACGGCCAUCCGAGUUGUAAUUUAGAGAAGCGUCUUCCGCGCUGGACCGUGCACAAGUCUCCUGGAACGGAGCAUCAUAGAGGGUGAGAAUCCCGUCUUUGGCACGGACGCACCAGGGCUUCUGCGAUGCGCUCUCGAAGAGUCGAGUUGUUUGAGAAUGCAGCUCAAAAUGGGUGGUGAACUCCAUCUAAAGCUAAAUAUUGGCGAGAGACCGAUAGCGAACAAGUACCGUGAGGGAAAGAUGAAAAGCACUUUGGAAAGAGAGUGAAACAGUACGUGAAAUUGUUGAAAGGGAAACGCUUGAAGUCAGUCGCGUCGGCCGAGACUCAGCCUUGCCUCGGCUCGGUGUAUUUCUUGGCCGACGGGUCAGCGUCAAUUUCGCUCCUUGGAUAAUGGCGAGGGGAACGUGACACCUUUCGGGGUGUGUUAUAGCCUCUCGUCGCAUGCGAGGGACGAGAUUGAGGAACUCAGCACG
RNAcentral lists this ribosomal RNA (1254 nucleotides) under Russula gelatinivelata. RNAcentral's name for it is "eukaryotic LSU rRNA". The stretch from base 648 to 1254 matches the Rfam family "Eukaryotic large subunit ribosomal RNA", at positions 1 to 604 of the family's 3401-position model. The record is from RNAcentral. Lineage: Eukaryota; Fungi; Basidiomycota; Agaricomycetes; Russulales; Russulaceae.